RNAcentral lists this ribosomal RNA (436 nucleotides) under uncultured Oscillospiraceae bacterium. RNAcentral describes it as "bacterial SSU rRNA". It matches the Rfam family "Bacterial small subunit ribosomal RNA", at positions 341 to 792 of the family's 1533-position model. The record is from RNAcentral. Lineage: Bacteria; Bacillati; Bacillota; Clostridia; Eubacteriales; Oscillospiraceae.
ACGGGAGGCAGCAGUCGGGAAUAUUGCACAAUGGAGGAAACUCUGAUGCAGUGACGCCGCGUACAGGAAGAAGGUCCUCUGGAUUGUAAACUGUUGUCGAGGGGGAAGAUACAAGACAGUACCCCUGGAGGAAGCUCCGGCAAACUACGUGCCAGCAGCCGCGGUAAUACGUAGGGAGCGAGCGUUAUCCGGAUUUAUUGGGUGUAAAGGGCGCGUAGACGGCCUAGCAAGUUAGUUGUGAAAUCCCAAGGCUUAACCUUGGAACUGCAACUAAAACUGUUAGGCUUGAGUAUGGGAGAGGAAAGCGGAAUUCCUAGUGUAGCGGUGAAAUGCUUAGAUAUUAGGAGGAACACCAGUGGCGAAGGCGGCUUUCUGGACCAAAACUGACGUUGAGGCGCGAAAGUGUGGGGAGCAAACAGGAUUAGAUACCCUGGUA